This 301-nucleotide ribosomal RNA is filed under the name uncultured bacterium. RNAcentral describes it as "partial 16S ribosomal RNA". It matches the Rfam family "Bacterial small subunit ribosomal RNA", at positions 509 to 807 of the family's 1533-position model. The record is from RNAcentral.
CAGCAGCCGCGGUAAUACGGAGGAUCCAAGCGUUAUCCGGAAUCAUUGGGUUUAAAGGGUCCGUAGGCGGUCUUGUAAGUCAGUGGUGAAAGCCCAUCGCUCAACGGUGGAACGGCCAUUGAUACUGCAGGACUUGAAUUAUUGGGAAGUAACUAGAAUAUGUAGUGUAGCGGUGAAAUGCUUAGAGAUUACAUGGAAUACCAAUUGCGAAGGCAGGUUACUACCAAUUGAUUGACGCUGAUGGACGAAAGCGUGGGUAGCGCACAGGAUUAGAUACCCCUGUAGUCCCUGUCUCUUAUAC